This is a long non-coding RNA of Setaria italica (foxtail millet), 732 nucleotides long. RefSeq lists it as uncharacterized. The transcript is spliced from 3 exons. NCBI's taxonomy places the organism in Eukaryota, Viridiplantae, Streptophyta, Magnoliopsida, Poales, Poaceae. The record is from RefSeq and is a predicted model, not a curated record.
CGGUGGUCCUCGCGGAGCAGGCCUCCUACGCCGCCUUCGUCGCCAUGGGGCUGCUCCUCCCGCUCGCCUACCAGCGGCUGGCCCACAGGUUCAACGUCGCUCAUGCUGCUCCGCCGGCCCAGCAGGCACGCGAGCGCCGUUCUGUUCCUGCUCGGGUUGGCCUCGGUCAGGAUGGCCGUCUUACUCCCGGGCCUCUGCUGGUUAUCCUCUUCUGUUGUAUGCUCAUGGCGGUUCAUUGGCUUGUGCCGGCAAAGGGUUCCUGCUUUGAGAAGGUUAGUACCGGGCUCGGUGAUCUUGGAACCAUUUUUGCCUCGGUUACACUCUGCUGGGUCAUUCUUCCGAACUUGGCCAUUAUCCUGCUGAGGGCUCCGGCGAACUGAGUUCUGCCAAGUCCAUGUUACUGCAACAACUUGGCGCAUGAAUAAUCUAAGUUCUGGAACACAUGACGCUUCCUUGGAGUAGAAGAGUUCCUAUUCACCUGGGGCAAGUGAAGUGAUGAUUAGUUUAACUACAAAUCGUUGCAGUAACAGGGCUCGUGUCAUGUUACCAGUUGUCAUUUCUGUGAUGAAACCAUUGUGCAAGUUAAUAAGCUGAACGAUCAGCAAGGAUAUGUCUAUUCCUCAUAAAUUUUCUGCACUUAAACAUCUAAAACAUAUCAAUUUUGAACAUGAUGGCUCUUUAGUUAUCACCAUUGAACAUGAUGUGUCCAAAUAACAUCGAGCACUCAAACUA